This 432-nucleotide ribosomal RNA is filed under the name uncultured bacterium. RNAcentral's name for it is "partial 16S ribosomal RNA". It matches the Rfam family "Bacterial small subunit ribosomal RNA", at positions 355 to 773 of the family's 1533-position model. The record is from RNAcentral.
UGGGGAAUUUUGGACAAUGGGCGAAAGCCUGAUCCAGCAAUGCCGCGUGUGUGAAGAAGGCCUUCGGGUUGUAAAGCACUUUUGUCCGGAAAGAAAUCCUUGGCUCUAAUACAGUCGGGGGAGUGACGGUACCGGAAGAAUAAGCACCGGCUAACUACGUGCCAGCAGCCGCGGUAAUACGUAGGGUGCAAGCGUUAAUCGGAAUUACUGGGCGUAAAGCGUGCGCAGGCGGUUUGCUAAGACCGAUGUGAAAUCCCCGGGCGUCAACCUAGGGCACUGGCAUUGGUGCAUGCUGGGCAGGCUAGAGUAUGGCAGAGGGGGUGAAAUUCCACGUGUAGCAGUGAAAUGCGUAGAGAUGUGGAGGAAUACCGAUGGCGAAGGCAGCCCCUCGGCAGUCACUGACGCUCAUGCACGAAAGCGUGGGGAGCAAAC